UCCUAAGUUAAAGCUAUAUGACCCUAGCC
Molecule: non-coding RNA, 29 nt
Filed under: Mus musculus (house mouse)
Lineage: Eukaryota; Metazoa; Chordata; Mammalia; Rodentia; Muridae
Source: RNAcentral